UGGGGAAUUUUGGACAAUGGGCGAAAGCCUGAUCCAGCCAUGCCGCGUGUGUGAAGAAGGUCUUCGGAUUGUAAAGCACUUUAAGUUGGGAGGAAGGGCAGUAAGUUAAUACCUUGCUGUUUUGACGUUACCGACAGAAUAAGCACCGGCUAACUCUGUGCUAG
Molecule: ribosomal RNA, 164 nt
Filed under: uncultured bacterium
Lineage: Bacteria
Description: partial 16S rRNA
Rfam family: Bacterial small subunit ribosomal RNA
Source: RNAcentral